UCUCUGGUAGUAUAUCGGUUAGUACACGCGCCUGUCAUAUAGGCUUUGGAACUCUUCGUGCGAAAGCUGGGUUCGACUCCCAGCCGGAGAG
Molecule: non-coding RNA, 91 nt
Organism: Armillaria borealis
Lineage: Eukaryota; Fungi; Basidiomycota; Agaricomycetes; Agaricales; Physalacriaceae
Source: the annotation of a GenBank genome assembly